AGAGUUUGAUCAUGGCUCAGAACGAACGCUGGCGGCGUGCCUAACACAUGCAAGUCGAACGCGAAAAGCAGUAAUGCUGAGUAGAGUGGCGCACGGGUGAGUAACACGUAACUGACAUGUCCCGGAGACAAGGAUAACUGUUCGAAAGGAUAGCUAAUACUUGUUAAGCCCACGGCCUUGGGGUUGUGGGAAAAGGGUUGGGAUUCUUCGGAACCAAUCGCUUUGGGAGUGGGUUGCGGCCCAUCAGGUAGUUGGCGGGGUAAAAGCCCACCAAGCCUAAGACGGGUAGCUGGUCUGAGAGGAUGAUCAGCCACACUGGAACUGAGACACGGUCCAGACUCCUACGGGAGGCAGCAGUGGGGAAUCUUGCGCAAUGGGAGAAAUCCUGACGCAGCAACGCCGCGUGGGUGAUGAAGGUCUUCGGAUCGUAAAGCCCUGUCGGAGGGGAAGAUGCUUGUGCAUGCUAAUAGUAUGCAUAGGUGACGGUACCCUCAAAGGAAGCACCGGCUAACUCUGUGCCAGCAGCCGCGGUA
This 533-nucleotide ribosomal RNA is filed under the name uncultured Pseudomonadota bacterium. Its description in RNAcentral is "bacterial SSU rRNA". It matches the Rfam family "Bacterial small subunit ribosomal RNA", at positions 8 to 522 of the family's 1533-position model. Lineage: Bacteria; Pseudomonadati; Pseudomonadota. The record is from RNAcentral.